AGUGGGGAAUAUUGGACAAUGGGCGAAAGCCUGAUCCAGCCAUGCCGCGUGAGUGAUGAAGGCCCUAGGGUUGUAAAGCUCUUUCAACGGUGAAGAUAAUGACGGUAACCGUAGAAGAAGCCCCGGCUAACUUCGUGCCAGCAGCCGCGGUAAUACGAAGGGGGCUAGCGUUGUUCGGAAUUACUGGGCGUAAAGCGCACGUAGGCGGAUACUUAAGUUAGGGGUGAAAUCCCGAGGCUCAACCUCGGAACUGCCUCUAAUACUGGGUAUCUCGAGUUCGAGAGAGGUGAGUGGAAUUCCGAGUGUAGAGGUGAAAUUCGUAGAUAUUCGGAGGAACACCAGUGGCGAAGGCGGCUCACUGGCUCGAUACUGACGCUGAGGUGCGAAAGCGUGGGGAGCAAA
This 402-nucleotide ribosomal RNA is filed under the name uncultured Mesorhizobium sp. RNAcentral's name for it is "bacterial SSU rRNA". It matches the Rfam family "Bacterial small subunit ribosomal RNA", at positions 353 to 772 of the family's 1533-position model. Lineage: Bacteria; Pseudomonadati; Pseudomonadota; Alphaproteobacteria; Hyphomicrobiales; Phyllobacteriaceae. The record is from RNAcentral.